RNAcentral lists this ribosomal RNA (492 nucleotides) under uncultured bacterium. RNAcentral describes it as "partial 16S ribosomal RNA". It matches the Rfam family "Bacterial small subunit ribosomal RNA", at positions 29 to 507 of the family's 1533-position model. The record is from RNAcentral.
AGUGAACGCUGGCGGUAGGCCUAACACAUGCAAGUCGAACGGCAGCACAGUAAGAGCUUGCUCUUACGGGUGGCGAGUGGCGGACGGGUGAGGAAUACAUCGGAAUCUACUUUUUCGUGGGGGAUAACGUAGGGAAACUUACGCUAAUACCGCAUACGACAUACGGGUGAAAGCAGGGGAUCUUCGGACCUUGCGCGAUUGAAUGAGCUGAUGUCGGAUUAGCUAGUUGGCGGGGUAAAGGCCCACCAAGGCGACGAUCCGUAGCUGGUCUGAGAGGAGGAUCAGCCACACUGGAACUGAGACACGGUCCAGACUCCUACGGGAGGCAGCAGUGGGGAAUAUUGGACAAUGGGCGCAAGCCUGAUCCAGCCAUACCGCGUGGGUGAAGAAGGCCUUCGGGUUGUAAAGCCCUUUUGUUGGGAAAGAAAAGCAGCAGGUUAAUACCCCGCUGUUCUGACGGUACCCAAAGAAUAAGCACCGGCUAACUUCGUG